Pezoporus flaviventris is the source of this 1371-nucleotide long non-coding RNA. RefSeq lists it as uncharacterized. The record is from RefSeq and is a predicted model, not a curated record. The transcript is spliced from 3 exons. NCBI's taxonomy places the organism in Eukaryota, Metazoa, Chordata, Aves, Psittaciformes, Psittacidae.
UUUUGUAUGGCGUAACAUCAUCCCCUCCUUUUCCUCCAGGUUUUUAUUAAAUUCUAAGGAUGCUUCAGCCAGCUAGUUAUGGCACUAAUAAGUGGUGCUUUAGGAAGGGCUGAUAAGAAGGCAAAUCUGGCUUUUGCUACUUUUUAUUUAUUUUCUGGUGUGGAGUUAGCAUCACAGAUGUCCUCAAAAGUACAGAAUUUGCUUCCUUAAAGAUUUUAACUUGGAAGAGAACGUUGAAAGCUGGGCUUUGCUACACUGGGAAUAUUGCUGCUUUUCAGUUUGGCAGGCAAUGGAGCAUAUAAACACUGCUAUGACAGACCUGCCUUUAUUUUACUGCAUGGCCUUUUUUCUCUCACCCCUAAGAGAUGACAUGCAGGCACCCUUGUGCAUCACACUGAUAUCCUCGUGCACAGCUUUCUAAUGGCAGUAUAACCCCGCCUCUGCUGCCAGCAUCUUGAGGCCUUCUGGAAGGAGCUGGGAGAUGUCAUGCAACCGGCUGUGAGUUAGAGGAGAGUGGAGCGGUGCAGAGGGACAAACAGCAUCAGCCGGCGAGUGCUGGUGUGCCCUUGCUGUGUGCUCAUGCAGGGCUGCCUGCUUUCUGUGCUGAGCAGGGCUGAGAGACCCUGCCAGCCCUGUGCUCCUGCUCCAGCACUCCUCCUGUAGAUUUUCAUCCGUUUCUUAAAGCCCACCCACAGGCUCAGCUGGGCUUUGGAAGCCAAAAUGUGAGCAAACAUCAAGCUUCCCGAUCCCUUCAAGGCAGAAUCAAUCCCGUGAAGUGGAAGCUUUUAUUUUUUUCAGAGGAGUUGCCCAUACCCAUCAAACUCCUUGGCACCAGGUCACCUGGAAGGUGAAGGGGUGCAAUCACCGUACUUGCAUGCAACACCUCCAGUCUUGCCUUGCGAAUCACGGAGGUGACGUUUCCCCCAGCCUACAUGUGGGCUGUCACAAUCUGUGUGAGGGUGGAAGAGCAUUGCUCAAACAAGCCUCAGUUCUUGCAAACCACUGGAAGCUGGCUGAGUAGCACAGAGGAGGAAAGAAAGUAUUAAGAAGGUAUUUCUUUUUGUAGCAGUACGUGAGCAGAGAACUGCUGAAGACAUGGGAGUGCAGGAGCAGCCUUGCUCUGACUCAAGCACAGGCACUGAGAGCAGAGCUGAUGGUGGUACUUUUGCUCUCGGCUUAAAAUGCUGCCUCCUGGAUGCAGAAUGCUUGAAACCCCCAGGCUAAAUAAGAAAAAUGGUCAAUAAAUAAUGCAUAUAUGGCGGAGCAUUCCUUUAACCAGUUCUCACCUCACACUCCACUAGGCUGAGCUGGUCCCACCUCAUCUCAUGAGAUGGGCUUUUCCUCUGCCUGAGUCUUCUCCUAAGUUACAAG